UGGGAAUUUGGACAAUGGGCGAAAGCCUGAUCCAGCAAUGCCGCGUGUGUGAAGAAGGCCUUCGGGUUGUAAAGCACUUUUGUCCGGAAAGAAAUCCUUGGCUCUAAUACAGUCGGGGGAUGACGGUACCGGAAGAAUAAGCACCGGCUAACUACGUGCCAGCAGCCGCGGUAAUACGUAGGGUGCAAGCGUUAAUCGGAAUUACUGGGCGUAAAGCGUGCGCAGGCGGUUUGCUAAGACCGAUGUGAAAUCCCCGGGCUCAACCUGGGAACUGCAUUGGUGACUGGCAGGCUAGAGUAUGGCAGAGGGGGGUAGAAUUCCACGUGUAGCAGUGAAAUGCGUAGAGAUGUGGAGGAAUACCGAUGGCGAAGGCAGCCCCCUGGGCCAAUACUGACGCUCAUGCACGAAAGCGUGGGGAGCAAACAGGAUUAGAUACCCUGGUAGUCCACGCCCUAAAACGAUGUCAACUAGUUGUUGGGGAUUCAUUUCCUUAGUAACGUAGCUAACGCGUGAAGUUGACCGCCUGGGGAGUACGGUCGCAAGAUUAAAACUUAAAUGAAUUG
Molecule: ribosomal RNA, 563 nt
Filed under: uncultured bacterium
Lineage: Bacteria
Description: partial 16S ribosomal RNA
Rfam family: Bacterial small subunit ribosomal RNA
Source: RNAcentral